This 489-nucleotide ribosomal RNA is filed under the name uncultured bacterium. RNAcentral describes it as "partial 16S ribosomal RNA". It matches the Rfam family "Bacterial small subunit ribosomal RNA", at positions 28 to 507 of the family's 1533-position model. The record is from RNAcentral.
GACGAACGCUGGCGGCGUGCUUAACACAUGCAAGUCGAACGGUGAAGGGACCAGCUUGCUGGUUCUGGAUGAGUGGCGAACGGGUGAGUAACACGUGAGUAACCUGCCCCCUUCUUCUGGAUAACCGCAUGAAAGUGUGGCUAAUACGGGAUAUUCUGGGUCUGUCGCAUGGCGGGCCCGGGAAAGAUAUUGCUUCGGUGGGGGAUGGGCUCGCGGCCUAUCAGCUUGUUGGUGGGGUGAUGGCCUACCAAGGCGGUGACGGGUAGCCGGCCUGAGAGGGUGGACGGUCACACUGGGACUGAGACACGGCCCAGACGCCUACGGGAGGCAGCAGUGGGGAAUAUUGCACAAUGGGCGCAAGCCUGAUGCAGCGACGCCGCGUGAGGGAUGGAGGCCUUCGGGUUGUAAACCUCUUUCGCCAGUGAAGCAGGCCUGCUCCUUGUGGGUGGGUUGACGGUAGCUGGAGAAGAAGCGCCGGCUAACUACGUG